UGGCCAGAAGCCCUCCCUCACCUUUUCCAGGUUAAUCAUUAACUUCUCAUUAUGAACGCAGAAGCACCUUUACGCACAGUACCCUGACUCUGUCCAGGGCAAACACCUUGCUCGGGGCAGUGCCCUCUGCCCUCACCCAUUCCCCAGUGGUCUCAGGGGUUCAUGGCCUUGCAGGGCAGGUCCCCAUCCCCUGGGCCUUCCCGAGCCGCCCCAGGACACAGGAAGCCGGGCAGACGUGCGGGCUGCCUCUUCCUCCAUCCCAGAGCCCAGUGCCUGCCCAGCAGACGGACACUCCACACCCCUGGGAGAAAGGCCCCAACCUAACACCCUCUGCCACCUGCACGGGGGCACUUGGGACCUGGCUCGGGCAGGGGUAAGGGAUGGUGCCCGCAGGAGCCAAGGCAGGACCUCUCCAAGGACCAAACAGCUGGGGCAUCACCCUGAGGGUGGAACUCAGCGAGGGCUGGCAGAGCACAGACUGCAUCCAGACACCGCGGCCCCAGCCAGACUCCGUGCUGUCAGACAAACAUGCAAGUGAAUCACCACCUGCCCGGUUUCCGCUGCAGACGCGGAGGGCGAGAACCCAGGACACCUGCAUUGUGGGCACCGGCAUUGUGUCCCUGCGGCAGGAGCGCUGACUACUGCACUGGCAGCUGGGAAAGGGUCAUGCCCUGCCUCCAAGGUCCUGUCCUGAGGAGCCAGGUUUGGGGUCUGUCAACUCUGUCACCUGCUUGUCUGUGUGGAUAAUUGAGGCCUCCACCCAAACAAAGAAGACAUGAAAGGUGACCAAGAUGCUGUUGGGAGACAUCAUCCCAAGAUUUUGGGUACUCCUGUCCUUAGGGUCACACAAUGGACCAACAUUCAUAGCCAAGAAAGUCCAGGAGUUCACACUGAUGUUAAAGAAAUGAGAUCAAGUCCUGCCCAUGGUCCUCCUCUGAGUCCAGUACACCCCCACCAAACAAACUGGGCAUUCCCCUUAUGAGAUUCUAUAUGACCAGCCACCCCCCAAUCAUAGGUCAAAUUAAAGGUAAUCUUUGUAAACUAAAAAAUUUGUCCCUGAGAAAAUAAAUGUAGGUUUUGGGAAUAGCCCUACAAGAUAUCUAUUGCUUCGUACAAGAGAAAAUGCUCAUAAACUUAACAGACCCAGUAUACCCAUUCAAACCUAGGGACUUUGUUUGGGUCAAAAAAAAAAGGGCUGGGGAUUUAGCUCGGUGGUUCCACUGCCUGCCUCACAAGUGCAAGGUCCUGAGUUUGAUUCCUGGUAUGAAAAAAACACAAAAAACAAAAAAACAACUCUAGGGCCCAUAUAGGAUGGGCCUUAUACUGUGAUUCUGUCCACCUCCACUGCUGUUAAAGUUACAAGAACUGUGUCUUAGAUCUACCACAGUCCGCUAAAGCCAACAGCCCAAGACAAGUAGACCAGCCGGCAGGAUCCUGUGACAAGAUCAGGCUGCCACUACAGACAACACCUGCUCUAGUCACCCUGGAAGCUACUCAAACAGAAGACUGAAGAUCAACAUAAGUCCCAUAUCCUUUUUGUUAUAACUUUCCCUUGCCUCUUACCCCUACUUGUCAGAAACAUUCAGACAGCUGUGGAGACUCUGGUAGGCAGGCACACCACCGACUGAUGGUCUUACCCAAGCACCAACCUCUGCUCAGUGGGCUGUGCUGAGCAACCCCUUGUGACAAAAAUUGAUAAUAAUAAUCAUGAUAAAGAUGGUGCUCUCUGGUAAAACUUGUUAUAGAAAGCAUCAAAGAGGGGAACAAAGCAGAACUUAAAAGAAAAUCAGUUCUCCUAGCUGAAAGCAGUCUAACAGCUCCCUGUUCAGAUUCUGCCUUACCCUUUCCCAUAACUACUGACCUCCCCCUGGUCCUGAUAAGGUAAACAGUCCUAUCACUGUACAGGAACCCCCAAAGAACUAUGUGUUCUGUGAACAACUAUAUUCUAUAAACAAACUCUGUUCCCAUGUGAUUCAUAAGACACUCUCUUCUUACAAGGCUAAAUUACUGAACUGUCUAUCCCUGUUCUGUUCUGUUUAAACUCACUUACUUUGUCACUAAUAGACCACUCCCCUUUGACUAAAUGUAUAAAAACUGAAACUUCUCUUUGUUCAGUUCCUCAGCUUUGGGACACGAGUCCAUCAGGCUGGUGUUCACCCUACUAGACCCUUUUGAUUCCCACUGGGUCUCUCUUGUCCCUGAGAAUUCUGCAUAGUGAUGAGGAGCAGGUGCAGCACUCAGCAUGGUGUCCGAGCCCAUCUGUGCGCUGCUGUGGUGAGGAGGAGCCAUCUGCUCAGCCCUGCUGUUCAUGGCCACUGUGCCGUUUCCAGGGUCAUGGCUGGGCAGUGAGCCCUGCUGCCCAUCGCUGUGGGAACCCGAUCUCCUCCUCUGUGGGAAGCCCUAUGUGGUGGUCUGGGCCUCAGGUGUUGUCUUGUUCCUGCAGUGGUGCUGUGAGCCAGGUGUGUGGCAGCUCUAGGGUGGGGCCAGGGUGAGUGCUUCAUGGAGCCCUCAUGGCUCACACUGGCUGGCAGACCCCAGGAGGACACUGUUGGGUCAGCAUCCUGGGGUGUGGGGGUCGGAGUGCAGAAGUCAGCUGAUGACCUGGGAACCAGGAGGGAGGGGGUGCUCUGGUUCCAGGUGCCCCGGGGUGUGGGUGACACGGAAGCCACCUGUGUCUGGGCCGCCUCAGGUGCUGGGCAAAGGCAGCUGUGGGCAGGAUGGGAUUCCAUCCUGAGGGUCUCUCAGGGCAGUGAGAAACCCACAACCUUGCUGCCUCCUCCUGGGCACUGCUUGUGGGGCCCUGGGGGUCUUGGUGCUGGGGGGCUGAGCCGGAGCAACUCUCAGUGUCACACUCAGCUCUGAUGGCCUGUCGGGGACAGAGUUGUCCAAGAGGAGGGACAGAAAGAAGUCACUACCUGGGUCACUGAGCUGCUCAGGCUGGGCUCCAACUUGCCAUCAUCCUGCUCAGCCUCCCAGAGUGCUGGGAUCACAGGCGUGCCCUGCCACACUCUGCUGGGGAAGGCCUUUUCUUAAGCAUAGGGCUAGUUUUUUGGUUCCUUGUACUCACUUAAUCAUUACCAUCUGUGCAAACAAAAAAGUUGUACAUAUAAUUGUUUAUGGUGUGUUUAGAAGGGCGGUGGAGUUUAGUAAACACUAAGGACAGCCGCGAAUAUUUCACUGUGGCCUUCGACCCUAGUGGUGCAGCCGGCACUUGGCACUGUUUGUCACAGUGAAUUAGAUGACUUCAGUGAAUUCUGCAACGAGUGUCUUGCGGUGUAAGCCUUGGGCCUCCAUCCCCGGCAGUUUUCAGACCCCACAGGCGCUGCUCCUGGACCCUGCAGAGCUGUGGGUGAGGCCCAGGUGCUGGCUUGGGACAGCACACGUUUGGAAGGUUCUGGAAGUUUCUGGACAGCCUCCUAGGCGCGACCUCCCAGGGCUUCUUCCGCUGCCCUGACACUGCACGAUGAUCGCCUGGACCAGGAGACCCACAGCGACUGCAGGGGUCAGAGAAGGCAAGCCAGACUCAGUUUCCCCAGCUACAGCCCUGCAACACAGCACCUGACGCCAGGUGUGAGGCUCCAGCCACACCGAGCAGCACGCAGUUCCACAGGGCAUCUCUGGUAAUCCAGUCAAACACAGUCCACCUGCAGGGGGGUCCCGAGAUGUGCCCUCAGAUGCUCGUAGCUUCACCUGUGCCUUUUAACCUUUGGUUAUAAAUCAGGGCUCCCAGAACCCAUCCUGGUGCAGCUGGGUUGCUUGAGCAGCUCCAGAACCCAGGGAAGCACCAUCCACAGUGGGAGUUUGCAGGACACACGUGCAGGGGACAGCGCCAAGCACUAGGCUCUGUCCAGCACCACUUCCAGUGACCUCAGG
Long non-coding RNA from Heterocephalus glaber (naked mole-rat), 3873 nucleotides. Lineage: Eukaryota; Metazoa; Chordata; Mammalia; Rodentia; Bathyergidae. The record is from Ensembl.